RNAcentral lists this unclassified non-coding RNA (253 nucleotides) under uncultured Planctomycetia bacterium. RNAcentral describes it as "contains 16S-23S intergenic spacer region". It matches the Rfam family "Bacterial small subunit ribosomal RNA", at positions 524 to 776 of the family's 1533-position model. The record is from RNAcentral. Lineage: Bacteria; Pseudomonadati; Planctomycetota; Planctomycetia.
UACGAAUCGUGCGAACGUUGUUCGGAAUCACUGGGCUUAAAGGGCGCGUAGGCGGGUGGCCAAGUCCGAGGUGAAAUCCCACAGCUCAACUGUGGAACUGCCCCGGAUACUGGUCGUCUUGAGGGAGGUAGGGGCGUGUGGAACGUUUGGUGGAGCGGUGAAAUGCGUUGAUAUCAAACGGAACUCCGGUGGCGAAGGCGACACGCUGGGCCUUUUCUGACGCUGAGGCGCGAAAGCUAGGGUAGCGAAGAGG